Pelobates cultripes (western spadefoot toad) is the source of this 232-nucleotide non-coding RNA. NCBI's taxonomy places the organism in Eukaryota, Metazoa, Chordata, Amphibia, Anura, Pelobatidae. The record is from the annotation of a GenBank genome assembly.
AGGCAAUAUGAGAACAAAAACAUUGGCAAAUAUUAUAAAUGGUAAACAAAUUCAAUAUGAAUAAUGUAGAGUUAUGGGAAGAUGAAUGGUGAAAUGAUAACGUGGGUCAAUCUCGGCUCCAUAUGUGAAUGACGUUAAGCAAUACGUUUUAUAGAAAGGAACUCCGUAAAUACAGAGUUGCCAAUGUUUAACAUCUUCACUACGGAGCAAUUUGUAUUUAAAAAUAUAUUAG